This 284-nucleotide unclassified non-coding RNA is filed under the name fungal sp. RNAcentral describes it as "partial internal transcribed spacer region". The stretch from base 1 to 46 matches the Rfam family "Eukaryotic small subunit ribosomal RNA", at positions 1786 to 1831 of the family's 1831-position model. Lineage: Eukaryota; Fungi. The record is from RNAcentral.
AAGUCGUAACAAGGUUUCCGUAGGUGAACCUGCGGAAGGAUCAUUAAUAACAACACAUCUUUGGAAUCUCUUGCCAGAUUCUUUUCACCCCUUUAUACAAAGCGAACAUUUUUCUUUUUGUUUUCGUUUAUAUUAUUAUGCGAAAACAAUUUUUUUUUCUUUUUCUCUAUUUUUAAAAAAAAAAUAAAAAAACCCAAUUGAAAAACACAUUCUUUGACUGAAAUUUUUAUAUUUAUAUACAAAAAUUAAAAAAACAACUCUUAGCAACGGAUAUCUUGGCUCUC